Molecule: long non-coding RNA, 13526 nt
Filed under: Musa acuminata (dwarf banana)
Lineage: Eukaryota; Viridiplantae; Streptophyta; Magnoliopsida; Zingiberales; Musaceae
Description: long non-coding RNA (MACU_LNC005590)
Source: RNAcentral
UGGUGAAGGAACAGGUUGUGGUGGUGGUGGUGGAGGCGAGGAGCUGACAACCUUGGGUGGUGGCGAUGGCGUAGUUGGAUUCGGCGACGGCUUUGGGGAUGGUUUCCCCGGCUUGGGCGAUGGUUUCUUGGGACCUGAUCCGCAUUUGGAGCGACCGCAGUCGACAGGGCGGCUCACCACCGGCGCGCACAUCUCACCGGACUUUUGUGUCGGUCUCCUGGCGAGGCAGUUGCUCGUGUCGUCGAACACCACGUCGGACUUGGUGGACGUCGGCACACACUCGUCGGCCUCACCCUUGAAGAAGUUGUAGGAGAAGGUGAAGUUGGCAAGGCUGGGCAACCGGCAGAGUCCCGCCGGAACGACGCCCGUGAGGACGUUAUGCGACAGAUCCAACUGCUCCACCUUGGUCAGACCAUCGAAGCUCUUCGACAGCACACCCGUGAGGGAGUUCCAACUCACGUCCACCACCGUCGUGUUGCCCAACGACCCGAUCUCCGGCGGCAAGCAUCCAUCGAGGCCAUUGUUGAGAAGGACGAGCUCGUUGAGGGUGGCGCCCAUGUCCCCGAUGCUGGCCGGGAUACACCCGCCGAGCUUGUUGUUGGCGAGGACGAUGACGGAGGCCUUGGAGUUGCCGAAGUUGUUGGGAAUGUGAGAACUGAACCGGUUGUUGUUCAGAAAGAUUGCGUCCAGGUCCCUGUCGAAGAGCACCGGCGGUAGCGCGCCCUCGAAGUUGUUGAAACGAAGGUCGAGGUACUUGAGCGAGGGGAGGCCGAGAACAACAUCCGGGAACGGGCCGACGAAGCGAUUGUUGCUGGCGUCGAAUUCAUGGAGGAGCUUGAGGUGGGAGAAGCUCUUGGGGAUGAUGCCGCAGAAGCGAUUGGAGUUGAUGUGGAAGAGCGCGACGUCGGUCAAGAGGCCGAGCUCCGCCGGGAGGAACCCGGCGAUGUCAGCGCCAUUUAGGUCGGCGCCGGCGACGACGUUGAGCGAGGGAUCGUCGGGAGCCGGUGAGCAGAAUAUGCCGUUGUAGCCGCACACGUCGGGGCCGUCCCAGUUGGCGGUGAAGUUGUGAGGGUCGGAGUAGAUGGCGGUCUUCCAAGCUUGGAGGGCGACGUAGGAGCUGCGGAGGCGGGGAUUGGAGAUCCGGAUGCCGAUCUCGAUUUCGAACUCAAAGUCAUCGGGAAGUUGUCCGUUCUCAGGGAGGGCCAAGAGCUGGCGGCGGGCGAUGGCAGCGGCUUCGGCGUCGGAGAGGGCCGAGGAGGGGCGCGGGAGGAAGGAGGAAGAAAAGAGGAGGAGGAAGAGGAGGAGGCAGCGGCCCAGGGCCUCCAUGCUGGGUAGGGUCGAGAGAGGGAGGUGCACCACCCUGGAGAGCCCAAGGCUGCUUGCUUUAAGGGAAUGCAAUGGAGGGGGAGGAGGUUGAUAUAGCUGCGGGGGAAGGAGGAUUGGAGUUGAUGGCGAACGGCUUCCCUUGUUUGGAGGUGGGAGUUAGUUUUUCCUUUCUAUUUCUAUUGGAGAGAUGGAGGAGAACGAACGACCACGGGGACGUACUGCCCCAAUUGACGACGACAGGGUGGAGAAUCGAAUGGACGGAGGGCGAUGAAGCUUUGAUGGGAUUUAUUGGCGCAUCCCCCAAACUUAGCUUGAUCGACAACUAAUUCCAUGGAACAAUAUUUUUGCUUCUGAUGCGCAGACCUUUCGAGCACCGUCGCAUGUUGUCUCACGCCGGACCCCAUUUUGCCUGCAAGGGAUUUGACGCCUAAUUCCACAUCACUAAUCUCCCUCCUCUGCAAUGAUAUGGGUGUGAAUGCUAACGGUGACCAUGUGAUGAGUCAUCGGUCAUCGUUCUCGUGAGAGAGAAUGGCAGUGUGCUUCUAAAAUCUCAACUACACUGAUGAUGCGCUACAGCAUCUCAACUUCUAAGACUAAACAAUGCAGAUCCAACAAGAACUUGAGAAUCCCUCUUCACAGCCAGCCCAGGCUGACAUCUGAAAUAUAAUGUGACAUUACGGAGUAUACACCCAGCAAAUGACCAAGGAAAAAAGCAUGAUCCACGGAACUGCUGGAAGCUUUUCCAAGAAAAUUUAAGAGGAAUCAAUGAUUUCUAAAUUAAGUCUCAACUCAUUCUAAUAUAUAAUCAUAAGGCUCCAACUUAAAACUCUCACUCUACUUGUUAAACCAACCAACACGAAAAACUGAACUACUGAUGAAAUCAUGGAAUGAGACAUGUAAAGCAUAACUUAUCCCAUCGGUGCAUAGAGAUAUCGUCAACUCUCGUAUUUACAAUUAAAUUUUCCAGACCACCAAGAACACAGGAACACACAAGAAUCAAAUAAGAUUACUAGCAUAUGAUAGAUAUCAAAGGAAAAAUGGUCAGAUUGGAUCUUGACAAUGCAUCUUACCAAACUUCUUCUUCUUCUCUGAUUAGAUUGUAUCUAGCAUCUACCAUUCUAGUUUGCAAAUUUUAUAUUUGGUAACGAGUAGUUUACAUAAUUUUUUAGAGAUCAUCAGAAAUUUGUCUGAAUUCUUUGCAAAGCUUUCUUCUUUAUGUCCCUCCUCUUCCUUCGAUCCAAUGUUGAACUAGGCACUCUUGGUCAGGCAUGUUUUCCCUCCUUUUUAUGUAAGGUACAAAAAUUUCUCAACUUCUUUCAUCACUAAAUCAAGAUGACUCGUUCAAAAUAUCACAACAUACUUACAUCUCCCAACUUUCAAGACCAAAGUAAACCAAACAAUUUUCCCCCUAAAUCAGAGAGAUGCCUAUUAUCAAGAAAGAAUAUAGACUAUUUUCCAAUGACAACGACUCAUAUUGUUCCAACUAUCUUGGGUCUGCUACAUGGAUUUUUAUCCACCAUUGAACCCUGUGCAAGGCAAUAUCUUUAGUAAAAUCAAAGUACAUUCAAACUAUUUUUGUUGUUUCCAAUAAUAUCUUAUUAUAUCACUCUUUCCCUCUCUUGACUGAACUCGUCAUAAUUGAUUCAACUUAUCUUCCCACAGCGUUGAUGUCUUUUUUAAGCACGUCGUACAAACAAAAAUUAGAUACAACUCUAACCCUAGCAAACCAAACGCCAACACAAUUUGUAACCAAAUUAUUAACAAACUCUGCCUUUCCAUCCAACAUGGCCAAAAUUGAAAUAAGAAUAUUCUAUUUAUUUUUAGCUGCUAUCCCGGCAAACUUUAAAUAAUAAGAUAAAUAAUGAUGCACUCCAAGAAAGAACUCUACCAAACAAUGUAAGAGACAAUGAAUGCUUUUUUAUUAUCCUAACUAAAUAGCCUUAUUAACAAAAAGAAAAAAGGAGAUAGACUGAACAGUCAAUAGCCAACUAAAUUUCUUAGGGCACUAUGGAGCUGGAUUCAAGCAAAAGUUGGUGGAAAAGAUAAUUUUGUUUGAAAGAAAAUAAGCAGGUUAUUGUAAUCAGCAGAGUUCUCUGCUUUCAUAGUGGACUGCGAGCAACAAUUUCUUGCAACAAUUUCUUAGAACUAUAUCGGUGUGCAAUGCAAAGCAAAGCACCUAUUCUCUGCUAUCAUAGUGGACUGCGAGCAACAAUUUUCCAAUUUUUAAGCAAAUUGAGGUGAAUGUGAGUAAUUACUUUCCAGUUAUAAACUGAUAGCUUUUAACGAAAUAACUGAUUUAAAAAUCCAAAGUACACAAGAAAAUAGCUAAUGUUCGCAGAUAGAUUCCAAACAUCAUUAAUAAGGGAAUUAGUUUGCUUAAAAUUCACAGGUAAACUGACACAGUCAGUAUCAGAACAAUCCAAAACAAGUUACCGCAGAGCAUACAAGCAUGAACGGCUUUAGCAUUAGUGGAAGUGAAAACAAAGCACUUACGAACCAAAUAUCAUGAAAAUGAACUAUUACUGCUUUUAUUCAAACUCAGUUCUACAACCAAGUAUUGAAAUCACAGAACAAAACUAAUUAGAGAAACUGCAAAGAUUCUGAUCAAAAGGAUAAUAGUUGGAACAUAAAGAGGCUUCGAAACUAGUUAUGAUGAAACUCGAGAGAUAUAAAGUGUCUUAGACACCUGAUCUAACUAAUACUGGAAGGACUCACCGGGCUUCAUGCUCCGGAAGAUAGAGAUUGCAAUGGGGAUGAUACCCACGAGUGCAAGUUGAAGUUGUUCUGAGGUGCUCAUCCUGACGGUGAUCUGCCCAGUCCACUUGUUGUUCAGCCCAACACGAACUGCCAUCUUUGAAUUCCUCCCAAUGGAGAAUUGAGACUGCAGGUUUGCACCCAAAGCCAAAUCACCAUGCCAACUCAUCAAAGAUAACCCCAAGGUGGCAAGGGCUUGACUUAUGGGAUAAUCCUUAUCUCGGAGUCGCACCUCCAAAUUGGCUCCAUAUGCAGUAUAACCUUGUGCUCGAACAGCACCAGUGCUUGCACCAAGAUUCACUUGCUUCCCAAUAGAAAGUUGGUCUUCAAACUUUAAUCCAGUAGCUAUGGUUUCCCCCAAGAAGGUUACGGAGAUCCCUCCAGUAGUCCUGUUCUUUUUCAACAUUUUGAACUUGGUCUCACCGCGCAGAAUGUAAGAAAGUUGCUUUCCAACAGUCUGGAUAUCGAAGCCAGCGAGAGUAGAACCAUUUUCCCCAUGCUUGGCCGAGACAGAGGAAUCUAAAUGGAUGCUGAAUUCCUUUUUGUCCUUAGUCACUUGAGCUGAUAAGACAGCAGGAAAUCGGCCAGCAACAGCGAGGCUCUCUUCAAGGCUUACCCCAUCAUAACCACAAUCAUGAUCCCAACCAUGCGUAUCCAGUACUGGCCUAGCAAGAAACUGUGAGGUAGUCUCUAGAAAACGGUAUCGAUACGAUGGGGCGUCACAGUCAAAAGAAGGGGGCAAUACCAUAUCAGGCAAAGGGACUGGUACAGUUGCAGGGGCAUUAUCCUGAUCAAAAUCUUCGACCAUAUCAACAUGCCCAAAAUCAUCCUUCAACACUUUCUGUCCAUUCUUCAUCUCUUUCAAUCGUCUGAGCUCCUCCUUCCACUGUUUUUUCUGAAGAAGCUUAACUCGGUAAUCAUACUCAUCAAAAUAUGAUCUUCUUUGCUCCUUGGUCAGCUUGGCAAUUUGAGACUUGCUCAGGGGCUUAAAUGGUGGAAGUUGAUCAUACUCUUCUUCUUCUUCCCCUUGAUCAGCAUCUGAUAAGUCAUCUAGGUCAAUAUCAGAAUCUUCAUUGUCACCAUGAUGAUCGGAUGGAAGUUUUGGGUGUGCUCUGGACUGCAACAGAGAAGAAAGCAGGAAGGGAAGCGGUGGAGGACGUAGACGGAGACCAAACAGUUUUCCGGGAGAAGGAUCUUGAAGCUUUAGAAGUGAAUUAGCUUGAGAUAAUAUCUUUGAAGAGUAACAGAGCAGCAGCAUCUGUGAUCUCCAUGACAGACCAUUAGGGAGCACUUUUUGUCCCUCCCUGUUCUUUCUACAAGAUGGAUGGUUCUCAACAAGAGCCACUGGAUUCAUCAGGCGCAUGUCUCCAGCUGCUAGCCUUAUGGACUGCUGAACAGCAUGAGACCUUUGGGCCACGAACACCUCAUAGCUCAAAGGGGAACCACUUGGUCCAUCAGGAGGGGCAGACGCAGCAUGUGCGAGAGCGACAAUGGCAUUGAACCAUAUGGAUGAACCCAAAGUGCUAGUAAUUGUUCUUAGCAGAGGCAAGUCAUUCUGAUCUCGGGUCAGUGUGUCCAUGCGGUCCACAUACAAAACAAUGUCUGGAGGGCAUCUCUUUGUGUAUUUCUUUAUGGAUGCCAGGAUUCUCCUGCUUGAUGCUUGGUCCAUUCCUGAAGCUCUAAGACCUGGAGUAUCUAAAACCCGAAUCUUAACCCCCUCCACGGUUCCUACAAUCUCUUUAACAGAAGUUGUUGCUGGUUCAAAUGCACUGGUUGGAGACUUCUCUUCACCAAAUAUAGAAUUUACAGUUGCACUCUUGCCCACUCCACUCUUUCCUAGGACAAGAAUGUUACAGGAAAAGUCCAAAUCUUCAGUUCCAUCUUGUUCUAGCAGCAAAGCCUUCUUUUUUGCACUCUCAAGACUAUAAGCCUGGCCAGUUUGCCUUCCACUACGAAUACCUUCCGCAAGACUCAGACGAUAUAGCACCUGGGCUACCACCGUGUCUUCAGGUGAAUGGCCCAACCUAUGAACAAGACGUAGAAACUUCACCCUAAUAAGCUCAACUUUCUCAUGCAACUGUUUUUGUUCCUUGGUCAUUUGAUCAUCAGGCUCUGCUGCUACAGCCAGUUCAGAAGGACUAAGAAGGUUUGAUCGUGCAGGACGGGGAAGAGUAGGUUUCAGAGAUGGAAUUGAGGACCCCAGACCAGCUGGACGGUCAACCAAGAAGAUUCUAUUAGCAUCUUGAGAAGUGACACUGAUACCUCCAUCAUCAGUGGAACUGCUUGCCGCUUUCAGAAGCGCAAUCAAUGCAUCAGAAUCGAUCAUUGCAUGUCUUCCAUCCUCCUCGUCAGUCACCAACUCUUCAUCUGAAUCCAAAAUAAUCUGGCCGUCUACAUCCUUUGAGUCAUCUGACACUGAAUGAGGGGUGACACUAGAAGAGCCUUCUUCUAAUUCACUCAUCAGCUGUUUUGCAGUUUCUGAGCUCGUCGAUAUUGCCACCCUAGGUGGUCCAUCAGAAACUAAGUUUUCGUCUUCGUCCUCUGCCUUCUCCUGGUCAAGGUCUUGCACAUGAUCAAUCAAAUCUUCACUCGGUGUUGGUUCUGGUUCUGUAACUGAAGUUGGUAAUUGAGCAAGUGCAUCUUCAUUCACACCAGAAGCCCCAAAGUCAUCUCCUUCAGUCACCCUGUUUCUUGAUUCCCCAGCAGUGAUAGAUGGAGAUUGCCUAUCUUGGGCUGAUAUUGAAUUUUGCCCAUCUGGAACCAAUUCAGGCACAGGCUCAUCAUUGUUUGCCUCAGUUCCAUUUGCGGUUCGAUUCGAUUCAUUUGUUAGCUUCUCAUCCACUAUCUCCUGAACAGAACGCUCACUAGAGACAGUUUCACCAUCACUAGCUGUAUCCACUUUCUCCUGAAUAGAAGGCUUACUAAAGACAGUUUCACCAUCACUCACUGUAUCAUCUUUGUUAGCAGAACUUUCACCGGACUUACUAUCUGCAACUUCAUGAUUCUCACUCAAAUCAUUUUUCCUCAUAUUUGAUCCAUCAAGCUUUCCGGUUGAAACAUAGACCAUCAUAGUGUCCACACCGGAAUAACUCUGUAUUAAAUUUUCGUUCAUCUCUUCGUCAUUUACUCCAUGAGUUGAUUUGGAUGAUUCAUCUACUGUUUGAGAAGCAGGAGUACUUCCUUGGUUGACACAUUGAUCAGAAUCGGCAUUUUCAGAAGUGCCAAUGUCCACCUCGCUGAUAUCAGCUUUGUCUCCGCCCGUCCCUUUAGCAGGUUUUCCCAAUUUCUCGACCAAGCCUCCAUCUUUCUCCGGAGCAUCAGGGUCUACUUGCUCCUCAUUCCUAUCCACAUUUCCAGCGGCAGCAGUCCCAUCCUCGACUGGGUUAUCCUCAAUGCUCAAAGUGGGAGCAACCCCAGCAAUGUCAAUGUUCACCUCUUCCAUCCCAGCUUUGCCUCCGUUUUUCUCUUCUUCGGCGGUAUCAAACUUGUCGUUUGCUGUCUUUGACUCCAGUAGCACAUCAAUAACAGGCCUAGCAGAUUCUCCCAAUUUGUCGACCAAACUUCCAUCUUUCUCCUGAGCACCAGGGUCUGCACGCUCCUCAUCCCUAUCCACAUUGCCAGCUGCAGCAGUCUCAUCCUCGACUGGGUUCCCUUCGAUGCUCAAAGUGGGAUUCUCCACAGUCUCCAUCUCCCGUGCGGCACGUAUACAAAUUGGGUAGACAUUUUGAUCGGAAACUGCGGCAACGCCAACUUUCACGUCAUCCGCAACAUCAGGUUCGGCUACAUGUCUCUCUUCCUCAACCGCACCAAUAGUAGGGGUAGCAGACUCUCCCGAUUCCUCGACCAAGCCCUCAUCAUUCUCCUCGUGAGCAUCGUGGAGUCCGAGCUCCUCGUCGCCAUCGACAGAACCAUCCCCGAUUGGCUUCGUUUCGGUGCUUUGCGAAGUGGAAUUCUCCGUCGACUCUUUCACCACAGCCGACAAAACCUCACGAUGUGAGGUCUCCUCUGUCCUAGGGAUUUCACUUGACAGCAUUUCCACGGUCUCAUGUUGGGAAUUGCCUUGGACGGUGGCCAAAACCUGAGUCUCCGAUGGGGGCUCACCUUUCUCCUCUCCUUCCAUGAGUUCACCAUCAUUCAAUGAUCCUGAAGCUUUAGCGGCAUCCGAGAACCCAUCGUCGUCCCCAUAUUCCAGCGCCUCCUGGAACGCCUCCUCGUCCGGGUCGUCGUCCGGAGUCUCCUGUGCUACAGGCAUCGAGGAGGUGGUCGUCAAGGUGCCUCCGGCCGCGGCCGAGGCGGGGGCCGAGCCGUCACUGCUCUCCUUUUCCGGUUCCACGGCGGCACGGGGAUCCCCGUCCCCUCCUGUGUCUCCGUCGGGUUCGCUCGUCAUCGGGGCUUCCUUGGCUUCCGACGAGACUGACGCGCCGCUCACCUCGGACGCCAUCGGUAAGGAGGGGAGCGACGAGACGACCCGAAGGAGCGGAAAAGAAGGCAGAAAGAGUUCUACAAGCCGAGUGACGAGCGUCUAAUGACCGAAUGGGGUUGGGAAGUGAUAAGGAGAGCGGGCGGCAUGAGAUCAGAUAAGGCAGGGAGGCGAGCGUUCUGUUUUUGCCCUUUUCCUGAACAAUUUUUUUUUCUCUAUAUACAGAAUAAUGUAGUUUGGGCCAUUGAUGGCAGCCCAAAAGUAAAUUUGGGCUUUCAAUUUCCUCACCGUAUGAUGUCAUAGAUUGGGUUAUUUACGAUGGUGUGUUGAGAACGCUCGGGUAUCGGCCAUCCAAACAUUGUAAGGGAUCUAACCAAAAGCACAUUUUCGACUCUAAUCAAUUGAAUCUGUUUGGACGGAGUAAUGUACUGCGAUUUUGUUUGAAUCAAAAAAAUACGUUUGUUCGAAAAACAAAGAUAAAUUAAUUAUCUUUUAUGUUCGUUUUGGUUGUCCCACUGAUUUGUUUGUUGUGCCCUCAUAUCAAUUUGCUAGGAUCAGAUCAGCAUCUUCCAUUAGGUGGUUUAUUUAUGCCUUGAUGAUUUGCUACCAUCAAAUUACUUUGAUUGAUUGGUUGAUCACUAAAAUUUUCUAAAUACUAAAAAUAUCUAAUGCCUAUCGAAGCUGAAACUUUAAUAAGAGUAGACAGAUGGCAUUGUACGUGAUUUUAACGAUUACGAGUAUGAAAUCUCAUCUCAUUUCAGAUGUAAACUUUUCCCAAAAAUAACAUUUGAUUCGAUGCACUAAACUAAGUCGGUCAUCAAGAGGUAAUACACCGUGCUCAUCUUUCCCUCUCCGCGGCAGCCGUCGUCGCUGCUCUCUCGUUUUUUCCUUCGUCGCCCUCACAUCACAUGCUCUCCAUGGAGGUGGGGACGAUAUAGGAGUAAGUCUCAUCAUUUGAUCUACUUGGUUCUAAACUACAAUUUUUAUUUCUAAUAAUAUCAAUCCGUACAUGGUGUGAGAAUAUGUAUUAAACAAUAAUAAUAAUACUUUUAUUGCAUGAUUAAUCACCGAUCGAGAUAUCAACAUGUUAUGGCCAUAGGGCAUACCUGGGUGAGGUUCCUGCUGUAGUGUAGAUCCAGCCGCCGGCCUUUAGCAGGUUUGAUUAGGAAACUCAUGGCGGAGCAUUGAAUGAUGGACGGUGACCUGAAUCCUCGUGCGGGAGUCAAAACCUGAGAGAGAUGAAAGAAAAGAGUUAGUUCAUCAUCGGAAGCAACAAUAUUUAAAGAGUUUUCCUGAUUAACCACUUAAUCGAUCAAGAUUGAUACAAGUUUGCUUAUCUGCGUUAUUCUUUCCGAUGCACAGUCCUCCCACGCCCUAAAGAGCUCGCAGUAGUAGUAUGUCGCCCUCGUCACCAUCUUCCCCCUCCGCUCGCUCCCUCGCCAUGUCUUAUGCUGGACCAGAUUUUUUUUUGUUUUGCUACAGGGAUUUGGAACCUAAUUCCAUAUCAUUAAUCUCCUCUGUCCACGGUCACAGUAAGGAUAUUAUUCAUACGAGAGGGAGGGAAUCAGUGUACAUGCUAACAGAUGAUUAGAAUGUCAAACCAUUUAUUUAAAACACAUCCCUACGAGAAAAUUUAAAUUUAUGGAGCAAUUUUGAUUGUGAAAAGGAGACUUGGUUAGAGCUAAGUCGAGGAGGUCAUGAAGCGUGAACAUGAGUCAUCCUUCUCAUUGGACGGAAUAGCAGUGUUCUAUUCAAAUCGACUACAUGGUUCUAUAACAUCUCAAAUUGUUCAUCAAAAUGGGUGUUGUGCAUUAUCCGAAUAUGUCAAAACAUGGGCCAAAACAGAUACAAAUACCAGAAUGACUAAACAACUCUUUUCGGAUAUAAAUCUAAAAUGUCCAGCACUUAUUCGGAAAAGAGAAAAGACACUGCCGAAAUAAGAACUUGAAAAGUAGAGAGUUUUCCUCUUAGAAUAUAAAAAAAAGUACCAAGCUCCACCGGUUAGAUGAUAACAGAGACCCAGGAAUUCAACUCCACAGCUAGCCCAGACUGACAUCUGAAAAUAUAAUGAGGGAAGCAUAAUGAGAAUACAAAAUAAACAAAGAUUUCUGAAUUAGAGUCUCAACUUAUUCUAAUAUAAAAAGAGUGCUUCGGAAAAAUACACAAUCAAUCAUAAGCCUCCAACACAAAACAGUCAGUUUUUAACCAACCAACACACCGUUGCUGUUAGCGAGCUACACGAAAAACUGAACUACUAAGCAAAGAAAGUUGGUUUAGGCUUCACGUCUCGGAAACAAACUGACCUGCUGAUGAAAUCAUGAAAUGAGAAAUGUACAGCACAACUUGUCCCAUCAGUGCAUAGAGAUAAUAUCAUGUUUGGCAUUUACAAUUAAAUCUUCCAGACCACCAAGAACCCAAGAACAUACAAAUCAAAUAAAACUACCAGCAUAUGAUACCAAAAGAAAAAUGAUCAGAUUGGAUCUUGACAAUGCAUCUUACCAAAAGACAACAGUAAGAAAUUUAUCAAAGAGAAGCCAAAACAAACCACACAAUGAAUGAGACGGAGGAGAAACAUGUGCUAUGGCCCAAGAGAUUCUGACCUACCAUUGCAAUUUGCAUAAUUCUAUUGCAAACAAUGUUUUUUAUUCGAAUUCACUAUUUUCAUGGAAAUUUGUGGUUGAACAAUAGCCUUGAAAAGCAUGACGAUAACUUGGCCUUUAAGUUGCAGCAGGGUCAUCACGUGUGACCCAUGUCAACCGGCACAGCAAUGCUUGUUUACAAACGUCUAUCUCAUCUUGCCAAAAAGAAUGAGUAUUUCCAUUUUGACAUGAAGUAAAUUAUGACAAGUUACGAAACUGGUUAUUAUCAUGGAAAUUUGCCACUGAGCUUGCGAGGAGUGUUUGUGCACAAACAUGCAUCUGAUCAUCUCUUAUCAGACAAACCUUUUCUAAUCUGCAAUAGAAGGAAGGCUUUUUUAUGGCUAGAUGCAUUUUCCUCUCAUCUUAUGAAGCACUAGAAAGAUAGUCCAUUAUUAACAAAGGAAAAUCCAAGUUGGAUAAAAGAAUAUUUAAGCCCCUAUCAAUUAAAAUUUCUUUAACUUUUCGUUCUCCGAAUAGAUUGUAUCUAUCAUUCUAGUUUGCAUAACAUUUAGGUCCAAACUCAAAAUUUUUUAUUUGGUAACAAGUAGUUUUCAUAAACUUUUAGAGAUAAUCAGAAAUUUGUUUAAAUUCUUUGCAAAGCUGUCUUCCUUGUGUCAACCUCUUAGCAGCCAUUCUUGGUUGGCAUGUUUUCCCUCCUUUUUAUAAAAAUAAGGUACAAAAAUUUCUGAACUUCUUCCAUCACUAAAUCAAGGUGACUAGUUCAAAAUAUCACAAUAUACCUACAUCUCCAACUUUCAAGACCAAAGGAAACCAAACAAUUUUUUCCCUAAAUCAGAGAUGCCUAUUACAAAGAAAAGCUAUAGAUGAUUUUCCAUUGACAACACAUAUUGUUCCAACUAUAUUUGGGAAGGCUACAUGAAUUUUUAUCCACCAUUAAACUCUGUGUAAGGAAAUAUCUUUAGUUAAAUCAAAGCACAUUCAAACCUUUUUUUGUUGUUUCUAUGAAAGUCUAACUAUAUCAUUCUUUACCUCUCAUCGCUGAAAUCAUCAUAAUUGACUCAACUCAUCUUCCCAUAACUUUGAUGUCUUCUUUGGACAUGUCACAAAAUAAAAAAUUAUAUGUAAACCAAACACCAAAGAAAUUUUUAACCAAAUUAUUAACAGACUCCGCCUAUCCAUCCAUCUUGGCCAAAAUUGCAAAAGAAUAUUCUAUUUAUUUUAGCUGCUAUCCCAGCAAACUUUAAAUAAUAAGAUAAAUAAUGAUGUACUCCAAGAAAGAACUCUACCAAACAAUGUAAAAGACAAUGAAUGCUUUUUAUUAUCCUAACUAAAUAGCCUUAUUAACAAAAAAAGGAGAUAAAUUGAACAUGUCAAUAGCCAAACAAAUUUCUUAUGGAACUAUGCUUGCUGUAGUAAAUAUGGAUCUGGAUUCAACCAAAUGUUAGUGGCAAAGAUAGUUUUCUUUGAAAGAAAAUAAGCAGGUUAUUGUAAUCAGCAGGGUUCAGCUUAGAACUACAUCGGUGUGCAAAGCAAAAUACCAAUUCUUUGAUUUCAUAGUGGACUGCUAGCAGCACUGAUAGGACAGCUCAAGCUCAUAACCAACAAUCUUCUAUUUUCGAAGCAAACUGAGGUGAAUGUGAGUAAUUAUUUUCCAGUUAUAAACUGAUAGCUAUAAACGAAAUAACUGAUUUAAAAAUCCUCAUUACACAAGAAAAUAGCUAAUGUUCACAGAUUGAUUACCAAAAUCAUUAAUAAUGGAAAUAGUUCGCUUAAAAUUCAAAGGUCAACUGACACAUUCAGCAUCAGAACAGUCCAAAACAAGCUACCUCAGAGCACACAAGCAUGAACGCCUUUAGCAUUAGAAGAACAAAAAAAUAAUGCACUUAUCUUACAUAUGAACUAAAUUGAAAAUGAACUAUUCCUGCUUUUAUUCAAACUUAGUUCUACAACCAAGUAUCAUAAUCCUAAGAAAUCAUGGACCAAAAUUAAUUUGAGAACUGCAAAUAUUAAUAGAUAGAACAUAAAGAGGCUACAAAAGAAGUUAUGCUGAAACUGGAGAGAGUUAAAGUGUCUUAUUCCACUGAUAUUUUUAAGACAGUAGACUCACCGGGCUUCAUGCUCCGGAAGAUAGAGAUUGCAAUGGGUAUGAUACCCACGAGUGCAAGUUGAAGUUGUUCAGAGGUGCUCGUCCUGACAGUGAUCUGCCCAGUCCGCUUGUUGUUCAGCCCAACGCGAACUGCCAUCUUUGAAUUCCUCCCAAUGGAGAAUUGAGACUGCAGGUUUGCACCCAAAGCCAAAUCACCAUGCCAACUCAUCAAAGAUAACCCCAAGGUGGCAAGGGCUUGGCUUAUGGGAUAAUCCUUAUCUCGGAGUCGCACCUCCAAAUUGGCUCCAUAUGCAGUAUAACCUUGUGCUCGAACAGCACC